UACAGAGGUCCCAAGCGUUGUUCGGAUUCACUGGGCGUAAAGGGUGCGUAGGCGGUCGGGUAAGUCUGCUGUGAAAUCUCCGGGCUCAACCCGGAAAUGGCAUUGGAUACUAUUCGGCUCGAGGUCUGGAGGGGGGACUGGAAUACUUGGUGUAGCAGUGAAAUGCGUAGAUAUCAAGUGGAACACCAGUGGCGAAGGCGAGUCCCUGGACAGAUCCUGACGCUGAGGCACGAAAGCUAGGGGAGCAAACAGG
Molecule: ribosomal RNA, 253 nt
Filed under: uncultured bacterium
Lineage: Bacteria
Description: partial 16S ribosomal RNA
Rfam family: Bacterial small subunit ribosomal RNA
Source: RNAcentral